GGGGAACUGAAACAUCUAAGUACCCCGAGGAAAAGAAAUCAACCGAGAUUCCCCCAGUAGCGGCGAGCGAACGGGGAGGAGCCCAGAACCUGAAUCGGCUUGUGUGUUAGUGGAAGCGUCUGGAAAGUCGCGCAGCAAAGGGUGAUAGCCCCGUACACUAAAAUGCACAGGUCGUGAGUUCGAUGAGUAGGGCGGGACACGUGACAUCCUGUCUGAAUAUGGGGGGACCAUCCUCCAAGGCUAAAUACUCCUGACUGACCGAUAGUGAACCAGUACCGUGAGGGAAAGGCGAAAAGAACCCCGGCGAGGGGAGUGAAAUAGAACCUGAAACCGUGUACGUACAAGCAGUGGGAGCACCUUCGUGGUGUGACUGCGUACCUUUUGUAUAAUGGGUCAGCGACUUAUAUUUUGUAGCAAGGUUAACCGUAUAGGGGAGCCGUAGGGAAACCGAGUCUUAACUGGGCGAUUAGUUGCAAGGUAUAGACCCGAAACCCGGUGAUCUAGCCAUGGGCAGGUUGAAGGUUGGGUAACACUAACUGGAGGACCGAACCGACUAAUGUUGAAAAAUUAGCGGAUGACUUGUGGCUGGGGGUGAAAGGCCAAUC
This 605-nucleotide ribosomal RNA is filed under the name Serratia marcescens. RNAcentral's name for it is "partial 23S ribosomal RNA". It matches the Rfam family "Bacterial large subunit ribosomal RNA", at positions 187 to 834 of the family's 2925-position model. The record is from RNAcentral. Lineage: Bacteria; Pseudomonadati; Pseudomonadota; Gammaproteobacteria; Enterobacterales; Yersiniaceae.